GUCCGCCCAGGGGGCGCCGUGGGCCUCGGCGGCGGGCCUCGGAGGACGCGACGGGGAAACGGGGCGGAGGCGCGGGCGCCGCGCGGAGGGGUUGCGGCUGUUGUCGCACCGGUCGCCCGGCUGCGCGGCGGGGGCGGGCCGACGGCGGCCGCCGCGCCAGGCCUCACAAAGAGCAAACAGCCCCGCGCGUCCGCCCGCGGUCCCAGCGCCGGGGCCCACCCUGAAGGAUCUGGGGCGGCCGCUCUGGGACCCCGGGAAGAGCGCGGCGAGGAAGAGGCACUUCCUGCCUGGGCCCCCCACCCUGGGCCGAUUCCCGAGUGCCUCGAAGCCGCCCGACCCGAACGGGCGCCUCAGUCCCCACCGGCCCCGAGUCCAGCCCCUCCCGCGGGACUCACCCUGAGCGGCGGUGAGAUCCGCGGCUGCCAGCGGCUUGUCGCUCUUCAGCUGGCGGCCAAUGUAGUCAGUCUGGGGACCCACCUCCCCCUUUCAGCUGAGCGCACACAACACAGCAUCCACGUGAGUCAGCUUCUUAAAGGCGAAGGCUUGGCCUGUCUAAUUGCGGCAGCUGCGAGACAUCGCACGUCAUUAGCGUCACCAGGUAGCGGCUGGAGCCGAGCUUCCUGAUACCUAGUGAGCCGCGGUGAUGACAAAUGAAAACAAUAAGCUGUUUCCUAGACAAACAGCUGCCUAGUUUCGCUCUGUCGCCCAGGCUGGAGUGCAGUGGCACAAUCUCGGUUCACUGCAACCUCUGCCUCCCGGGUUCAAGCAGUUCUCUUGCCUCAGCCUCCCAAGUAACUGGUACUACAGAGAAUUGAUACAAAAAAUGAUCAUGUGAAGAAUUUGCAUCUUCUGCAGAACUACCGGUAUCAGUCAGCAGUAGGAGAUUGUAUAAAUUCAGCCUGAGAUUCCAGAAUAUUCUGUGUAUUGACCACCACAGCAAGAAGAAAAAGUCCAUGUAGGACUGAAAUCAUAUGCUGAGCCCUUUCCCAGUGUUGGGAGCAUAUCAAGAUAUUGACACAGUUCCUGUCCUUAAGGUGCUGGCACCAAGAAAAUGCAUACACCCUGUGGGCAGCUCACUUUGAAGAGAGAGAGGAGAAGAAAGGGCUGGGCUGCCCCUACUCAAGCUCUUCUUCCAAAAGCAGUACUCAGAUGGGUCACUCCAUAAUUCCCAGGGUCCAGUCAGGGAGCGGUGGGGAGAGGCUGGAGUGGCCUACUAAGGGAGAGCCCUGUUAACAGAGCCUCCUACACAAGGAAGAAUCACUAGGAGAGGGGAAGGAACGUGCGAGGCCCCUGCCAACUCCUCUUCCAUACUCGUUCGUUUGCGCAUUCAACACACUUUUGAGCACCUUCUUUUCCUCUGUGCUCUGUGACAGGAAUUCAAACAUGAAACUAGAUGUGGCCUUGGCUUUCAGAGAAGUCAUUCCCUUAGUAGUGAAUACUAGUUCCCUGAAGUUUAACAUUGGAGGAGAAGGAGUUAUUAAACACCCAUUCUAAGCAAGAACAUCAGUAGCCUACAAAGGGCCUUUUUUCACACUUUGAGUCUGUUGAAGAAAACUCACAGUUGGUAUCACUUGCUUUAAAAGUGCCCCCCACUCUGCCUUGUACGGUCCGGAUUGCUGUGAGGCCAUGACAAGGAACCAAGUUCUGUUUUUCUGUGAAGAGAAUGGAAUAAUCAUUUACCUCUUUCCUGUGGCUGCCAGCUGGUCCCUUCACUCAGUCACUCCCUGUUUCUCCUUCCUCCCUUUCCUCUCCCCUUCCAGUACACAGAAUCCCUUCUCCAUAUCCCCCCAUGAUGAAGGACCACCAGUCAUUGGCUCACCUCUCUUCCAAAAUUCCAAUGACUAGAGUCUUUCUCAGAGUAUGUAUAACUGAUGUCACAGACCCCUGAGUCUGGAAGAGUCUAAGUAAAAGUGGGUGUUGACCUGAAUGUAAGUUAGUUUUCUAUUGU
This 1948-nucleotide long non-coding RNA is filed under the name Homo sapiens (human). Its description in RNAcentral is "HSALNT0301464". The record is from RNAcentral. Lineage: Eukaryota; Metazoa; Chordata; Mammalia; Primates; Hominidae.